AUUGAUGGCCUUUGUGCUGGAUCAGUUUGGAUGCACCACAGACCAACUAAUAUCAUCUUUCUAGCAGUUUCUUCUUCUUCUUCUAUGUCUAUAAUCCCACGUAGCUUCAGGUCAUCGUCUAGCUGAAUGUGCUGAUAUGCCCAGUAAGGAAAAUAUAUCUCACUUGUAUGGCUCACUUCUUCCUUGACAUUCUUUCUUCCUCCGACCAUUUCUAGAACCAUCAUUCCAUAACUAUAGACAUCAGACUUGUGUGACACUCCUCCAAAACUCCUACUGAUUACUUCGGGAGCAAUAUAACCAAUCGUCCCUCGUGCUCCUAACAUGGAAACAAUGCUUUCUUUUCUGGUGCAUAGUUUUGCCAAACCAAAAUCUGAUAUCUUAGGACAGAAUUCUUCAUCAAGGAGUAUGUUAUGAGGCUUUAUGUCAAAAUGCAAAAUUCUUGUAUUGCAUCCACGGUGAAGAUACUCCAAUCCUUUAGCAAUUCCAACUGCAAUUUGAUACAAUUUGUUCAGUCCCAAGAGAGAACCAUCACCGUAUAUGUAUUUCUCUAAGGAUCCAUUUGGCAUGAAGUCAUAAAUUAGAGCUCUUUUGCUCCCAUCAAGACAGUAUCCUAAAAGAGACACGACAUUGACAUGCGAAGUCUGGCUGAUGCUUGCAACUUCAUUGAUAAAUUCUUCACCAUCACCUUUAGAUGCUUUUAAAAUCUUCACUGCAACUGCACGGCCGUCAGAAAGUUCACCUUUGUAGACUCCUCCAUAACCUCCUUCACCAAGCUUAUCUUUGAAUCCAUGUGUCAUUUUCUUGAUUUCCCAAUAGCUGUAUCUCCUUGGUGCCAGAGAUCCAUAUUGCUUAAGUAAGGCCUCUAGACUUUGAUCUUCUGUUUUGCCGCUAAUUAAUUGUAUGCACUUGUAGAAUGAUUCUCUAUAUUGUGUGUACCAGAUUCCUAAGCAGAUUAACAUCCCAAUUCCAGCAAUUGAUAUUCCUAUAUUAUAUUACAAGAGGAAUUAAUGGAACUUCAUGUAGCUAAGCUACAAAUUGUUUUAUUAAAAAUGAGCAUACCUGUUGCUAAAUGAAUCUUAUUAGUGUUUGCUUGAGUCCCAUAUGAGGCAUCACUAUAAUCCACUUCAAACCCCUCAUCCACAGCCUCUUGCAGCGUAAGAGUUGCGUCCCACAAUUUGUUAUAAGCAGUGGAAACAAGAGGUACUAGUAUGCUAAAGGAACAUCCUAGGACAUUUGUUACAAAUUCAUCGCUAAAGAACACACCAGUGUUGAUUGUUCCAUUUAUAAAACAACUAAUAUUGCUCUGCACCUGUACACUGGACAGGACCACAGAACUGCAGCCAUAGUGUAUGUUUAUAAAUCUAGUCCCUGCGACGUAGCUGCAGUGACAAUUAAAAUAGUGGGAGGCCGUUUGAAAGAGAAAUAUAUCUAACUAUACUUGUACUUUUUGUUAUUACACAUAUUCAUAUACGGUAAUACCCCGAGCCACUACGUACCUGAGACCAUUGAUUAAGGUGGUGUUGUACUUGUAGAGACUGUAGAGUGAAGAAGAUUCUGGACAAACAUUUUUCCAGUGAUUAUCAUGAACCAUUCUCAUCUUGAGUGAGGACUGGUUAAUUGACAGUACAUGAAAUUCAGAAGGUCUAUAGCCAAUGAGUUUUCCAUAGACGUAAAGAACAGACAAAGUUGUCUGAUUAUCUUGGCACUGUAGAUAUAAAUCAUGGUUGCCACAUAAACUUGAUCGCGAACCACCUCCCCAGAACGGGUACUUAACACCAUGUAUGCUUCCACAGUUAUAAGCAUCUUCACAAUUUACACUCUCGCCUUCAAACGAAUAGCUGUAACAUGAUGGAAUGGUGCAGAUGACUAAGAUUAGGAGGAAAAAACUUGUAAGGUCAUAUAAGAAUAACAUGACAACAAUUAUAUGAUCUUUCAAAGUUACAUAUCAAAAUACACUUUCUCCAUAUCAUUAAAGAGCUAAAUCCAAAUCCAAAUCAAAGUCAAUGGAAAGAUCAGGUGAAUCAAGUAAGAAAACACCUCUCUGAAUAAACAUUUCUUUAAUGUGCCCAUUGUUGUCAUUUGUCAACACCUAACAGCUCUCUUAACCAAGACUUUGACCUGGAUUACAAAUGUAUUUUUUUUUUUUUUGAAAGGUUCAUCCUACUUUUAAUAAUGUAUGAGUUAUAUCAAAUCACAUUGUAAUGAGUAUCACAAACUUUUUAACAAAAAAAAAUACAAUUUGAAAUAUAUGAACAGUCAAUCUACUCAAAUAACUUCUUUAUUGUAUGUGAAAUGAUUAGACAAUCCAUGAACCUGCAAAAUUUUGACAACAAAACUUGGUUUGGUAAUUAAAGUAAAGAUUAAAAUUUUAUGUUAUUAGGUCCAAACAUGUGAUAUAUAGUAUGUAACAGUACCAAAAAGAAUAUACAAAAAUGAUUAAAUGACUCUGAUUUGAAUGCAGAAGAAAAUUCUACAUAUCUUACUUUGUAGUUAUCCUCUAUUAUUUUAUCCAAUGAUGGUGAGAAUUAGGCACAUUCUUGAUAUUAAUUUAUAUAAGAAUUUAACAUAAAUGCAUAGGUUUGAUUAAAUCAUAUACAUCUUCUAUUAAAUAUUAGUAUUUACGUUAUUUAUCAUUUGACAAGUCAUCACCAGGGGAAUUAAGAGUCCUUUAAGAUGAUAAAUGUAUGUUACGUGAAGCUUUUUAUGAUUAAAUAUAUAUAAUAAGUAGUCUUUAAUAUAAUAUCAUUAGAUAAGACACCCUCUUUUAAUAUCAUUUUUAUUUAUACUAAUAUAGCCUAGAAAUUGUGAUUCUAAUAUCUGUAAUAUUUUUUUAAAAUAAUAUAUAUAUAUAUAUAUAUAUAUAUAAUUAGUAUAUUUGAUGUAUAUAUAACUGAAACAACUAAUUCUAGCAAAUAGUGCAAAUUGACUAGAAAGGAAAGGACACAAUUCUGGUGGGAAAAAUAGUCUGGUAGUUAGCCAUGUUUUCUGUUUGAUUAUUUCAUUUCAUUUAUUUAUAAUUCUAAUUUUCAGCAACGUAACACGUGACUAGCUUAGUAUAAGAGACAUCGUAUCCAUUGCAAAUCAUAUAAUUUGAAUGAUAAUUGAAAUUUUCUCUUCUCUAAAUUCCUUCUCUUUUCUCUCUUGUUUCCUUCAUUGUUCCUCUUUUGAAUUCGAUCCAAUAAUUUGAUAUUAUUUGGUAUCAGAGCAUUGACUCAAAAACAAAUCUUCAUGACAAAAAAUAAGGCUACGAGUGUUGUUGGUUUCAAUCAAGCUUCAUAGCUCAUUAAGUUAUUUGAGGAUUUAAAUGUUCAGCAAGCAAAGCUCCUAAAAAUGUACAAGCUACUGGAGCAACGUAAUGCUAGUUAUUAAGAUAUGAUGGUUGAACUCAAUGGUGCGAUUGAUAACCUUUACCAGUAAAAUCAGAUGCGACAUCACUCAUCAUCGAUUAUAUGAAUGUUGUCCCUCAUUCUUCUUUAUUUUCCUCUUUGUCUUUGUUCUCCCUCUUCAACUUCUGGCAAAACUUCUUUGUGUGCCCUUUCAUGCCACCAUGAUAGAACUCAAUAUCCUUAAGUCUGCCUCUAAAUUUACUUCUGUUAUGUUUCCUAUUUUGAGAAUCACGAGUUUUAUUUCUCCCCUGGAACUAGUUUAACAGGAUAGCUGACGAAAAAGAACCAUGAGAUUUUCUUCUUAUCUCUUCGUUCAAGACACUACUCUUGGCAAAAUUCAUAAUGAUCACACCAUCAGAGCAAAAUUUGAUAAUAAAUUUCUGAAUGUUUCCCAAGAGUCUGGUAGGGAACCAAGUAGAAGCAAGCCUUGAAUUUAUCAUCAAAUUUGAUCCCCAUAGCAAAUAACUGAUUCAUAAUCUCCUGAAAAUUAUUCAAGUGAUUUAUCGUUAGAGAACCAUCAAGAUAUUUUAGAUUUAACAUUUGUUUUAUCAAGAAUAUUUUGUUGUUGUCAGUCCUCCGAGCAAACAAACUCUCAAGAUGCUCUCAUUAGAUUUGAGUAUGUGUCUCCCCAAAAAUAUAAUUAAACACAUUAUCGUCAAUUUAUUGCCUAAUAGAUCCAUAAUUCUGUCUGUGCAACAAAUUCCACUCUUCAUCUGUUUUAUUUUCAAAGUUUAUAGUGGUAAAAUCAGUUGAUAAAAAUUCUUAACAUUGAGAAGAUCUUUCAUUUUCCCUUCCAAAUGACAUAAUUAACGUCAUUCAAAGUAAGCAUUCUACUUGUGUUGACUUUCAUCAUUUUCCCCAAAAAAUAUAGCUAUUGCAAACCAAUGCUCUGAUACUACUUUGUUGAGAAAACGCGGACUAACACAAAAUUAUAUAUGGUCAAAAUAAUGAAAAAAAAUGGGAAAACAAUGACACCAAUAAUUUUACAUGAAAACCCUUUUAAAUAAGGAAAAAACCACAGGUUAAGAGAAGUAACUGAUAUCACUAUAGUAAGGAAUUUUUACAUUGUAUAGUCACAAGUAUAAUACUCAAAGUGAAGACGACACACUCAAAAGGAAUAACACUCUUUUUGUUUACCACUUUACUAAAAUAUCGUUCACACUCUAUUUUUCUUCACAAACUAUUUUCUUAUAUAGUCUAUGAAAACCUCACAGUUCUCUCUCUCUAUAUAUUUUUUCUCUCAAUGUUUUUGGUGUAUUUAUAAAAGAGGAGGCUCUAUUUAUAGAUAAAUUUCCAACUAUUUGAGUCAAUAAAAAAAAAGGUUGGUUGCUUGCAAUUUUCAAUAGAAAAUUGCACCAUCCAUUCAAUAUUUGUUGUCAAUCAUUCAAUUCAUCAUUUGAUGUCACUAUUACUUUUUAACAAUUGCUUGUAGCAAUUGAGAAUCAUUUAUUCAACAACAAAAGUUGACUAAUAGAACAUGGGAUGGACCCUACAAUUAUUUCAAUAAAGGAAACAACUUAACCUUGUUAUAUGUUCUUUUCUUUCUUUGUCAAUAUCUGUAUUUUCUCCUACAAAUUGGUAUCAAAGCUUGGUGAAAUGUUCUACUUUCUUGGAAUGGAAAUUCAGCAAAAUGGACAUGAGAUCUUCAUAUGAUAACAGUAAUACGCUAACGAAAUUCUCAUAAAGUUCAAAAUGUAAGAAUGCAAAUCUACAACAACUAUAAAUCAAAAGGGGAAGCUUUGCAAAGAAAUAGAGAUGAAAAGGUUGAUGAAGGACUUUGUAGGAGCCUGAUAGGUUUCCUAAUGCACUUGACUGCAACGAGACUAGAUAUUCUUUAUGUUGUGAGUUUACUUUCAAGAUAUAUGCAUUAUGCUAGUAAAAUUCAUUUUCAAGUAGCUAAACAUGUGAAUAAAUAUGUUAAAUGUGCUGUGAAUUUUGGUAUAAUGUUCAAAAAAAUAUUAGAUUUUCAGUUUCUUGAAUUUUUUCAUAGUGAUUGGGCUGGUAGCUCAUAUGAUAUGAGAAGCACCUCAGGUUACAGUUUUGAUUUUGGUUCUGGAAUAUUUUCUUGGUGUUCAAAGAAGCAAGAUAUUGUGGCUCAAUCUAGAGCUGAGGCGGAGUACAUUGCAGCUGCAUCAACUAUGAAUCAAGCUCUUUUGAUUCAGAAGCUGCUAGAUUUGUACAUGGUGCAAACGAAAAGCACUGAAAGCUCUGUUGAUGAUCAAGCUGCAAUUUCAAUUGCAAAUAAUCCUAUUUCACAUGGAAACACAAAAUAUUUCAAGAUCAAAUUUUAUUUCUUGAGGGAGAUGCAAAAGAAUGGAGACAUACAUUUAAAGCACUGCGAAAAUGAUUUUCAGAAUGCUGAUAUUUUAACUAAGGCUUAACCUAGAGCAAGAUAUGAGUAUCUUAGAUAAAAAGUGGUAUUGCUGCACCCGAGUCAAGGAGGAUUGUUGAAAGUAGUGCCUCAAAAGCUAGUUAUUAGUUACACCUACUAUUGUAUCAAUAUACAACAUCAAAAUAGGAUUAGGUUCAGAUAAAUAAGGCUACAGUGUUGUGCGGAAUCUGAUUAAUCAAUUGCUAUAUUUUAGUCUUUAGUUAAUGGAGAUAAUGUUAGCUUAUUUUACUUAUUUUCUUUAGCUUUUUAAUUUAUGAAUUCAUGUAUUUAUACGACAAUUUCAAUAAAGAAAACAACUUAGCCUUGUUAUCUAUUUGUUUCUUUGUCAAUAUUUAAUAGAAAUGAACUGUCAUCUGGCUGUAUAAAAUUGAGUAAUUCUUUUCCUAUGAAGAGGUGCCUUAUAUAUAGAGGGCUAAAAGAGUGGCCAUUCAUUCUAAUGUUGAUGUCAUUGCUUGACAUUAGACUUAUAUGGGAAAUAGAGGACCUAUUCCUCAUCCUAGUUGGGAUGAAUACUUGAUAUCUCUCUCAGGAGGUAUGGAGAGGUGUUUGUUGUCCCUAUGAUUGAGCUGAAGUGAUUGAGGCAAAAAGGAUCUCUCAAAGAUUUCCAAAAAGUCUUAGAUAAGUUGCUCACACAAAUGUCCUUCACCCCAGCCCAAUAUGAUAGUUCCUUCCUAGGAAGAUUAAAACCUGAGAUAUUCUAAACCAUUAUUCUCCAGAACCCUUAGAUAUUACCACAUGUCGUGAUAAGAAUCGAGUUACCAGAAUAAAUAAGAAAAUAAUGCGGAAGCGAAAUUAUAAAGAUUAAAGAUAGAAAUUGUAAGAUAUGUGAAAUUCAAGAAUAAAAUCUCCAAUUUCAAGAUAAAGGGGUAAGAACCCUAAUUGAUCUUAGUAUUCAAAAUUAACGGAUUAAGACUAAUUAUGAUACUAAUAGAGGUAAUUCAAGACCUUAUAUCAAAAGUGAUCUAGACCCAUAUUACGAAGAAAUUAGAGACAACAAUUAGUAUAAGACUAAUCACCUUCUUUAAUUUACUAAUAGAAACCAAAGAUAUCAAAUUAAGAAUUAGUCUUACCUCUUAAAAAACCGUUCUUAUAAGGUUGUAAGAUAAAUCCAUAGUCACCACACACAAAGGUGUAAAGAAGAGAAACCUCUCAAAUAAUAUUAAUCAUGUCCGUAUUAAAAUGAUAAAAUCAACCCCUAUAUAUAGGGAAAACCUAUCCCAAAUAGAAUAGGAUUUAAAUCCUACUUUUAUGGAAACUUUAAACUAGGAAACUUUUAAACUAGGAAACUUUAAGCUAGGAAAACAUGAAAACUUUAAACUAGGAAACUUUUUAAACUAGGAAAACUUUAAACUAGUAAACUUUUUAAAAUAUGAACUUUUGACUUUAAGCGUUCAGCUUUCUGGACUCUUUUAUUGGGCUUCGUGUGGCCCAAUCUUCUCUCUUUUGGGCUUGAAUUUGGACACCUCUUUCGUGAUAAAUAUAUUCUUGAUUUUGUAUUGAAGCCUGUCAACUUUAGUACAAGUAGGCUGAUGUGGAUGCUAUCAUUCCCCUCUUCUUGAAAACAAUUCGUCCUCGAAUUUAAAUCUCUCAAAAUCAAGAAGACAUGCAUUAGCAAACAACAUCCAUUUUUCGAAAGCAACAAUGGUAGGAACAAAACAGGAUAGUGACCAUGUGUCCACUUAACCCAAUUAAUCCUGGCAUGUAUAAAUACAUUCUUAUAAAGCAUGUGAACAUCAUCAUCCCAAUAGAAAAUUGUCCUAUUUAUAUAAACACAAUGAAUUCCUUGUCUAGAUGCCAUUGCGAAUGAUACAUGCAACUUCAAGUUAGUUCCAUCAAUAAAGUACUCCAAUGGGCAUGAAAAAUACGAUACAAGAUCCCUAGAACAUGCGUCAAAUUAGACACUUUUAUGAUAUAUCCAAGCAUCCUCAAUCAUCCCACUCACAUAAGCAUUGAAGUGCUCAUAGUCAUGUACCUCAUCCUCAUUAGUAGAAAACACCUUAUUAAGCUCAGACUCAUCAGGACUUGAAGAAUUACGUCUCAUCCCAUAGAAAGUAUCAUAUGCCAACAAAUUAUCACACAAAACUCGAUUCAACACUAGAACAAUAGAAAAAUGAACUAACUCAUUCACAAUCUUUCACACACAAACAUCACACCUCUUUUCAACAAGAGGAAAUCCACAAUCAACUAUGUCAUGCUCAACUUUAAAAGAGCUUAAAUUACUCUUAUUGAACUUGUUGAUUGAAGUUGGUGACUUAUUAUACAUCAAAAUAUCAUCAUCCUCAAAAUCAAUGAAGUCACCAACAUAAGAAUUAAGAGUGUAGUUUAUUACCUCCAAGAAUACUUUAGGUGUUGUAGGAAUACCAAGAAUGUGAAUGAACCAAUUAUACAGACCAUACUUGGUCUUAUGUAGCAAAGGAAUAACAUCACCUCGUUUUUCAUUUCUCAUUGGUGUUAGAUCCACAAUUGCCUUGUUGAACUUUUUGUUAUGCGCCUUAUCUUCGACAGAUCCAAAAUAAUACUCUUUACCUUUAUCGUUCUCAUCAACAUACACUUUCUCAAUUGGAUUUGUAGUAUCAACCACUUUAGAAUUAAGUUCAUCCAAUGACUUUGAUUUUUCAAUGCAUACUUUCCAUGAGUAUAUACAAGAGAGUCAAAACAACUAGAAGAAGAAGUAGGAAUGCUAGAGUUAGAAUAAGAGAUAACCUCACUCAAACUCCCUUGUUUUUCUCUCUUGACCUCACUAUCAUCCUUUUCUUUUUUUUUCUCUCAUGGUCAUCUCUGUUUUCUUUUCUCUCAUUCUCACUUUUUUUCUCACUUGACAUCCCAUUCUCUUCACACAACACAACUUCUCUUUUUUCCUCUCUUAGGAUGUCAGCAUGCACUCCCUUUCUCCUCUCACUCUUUUCUCUCUCAAAUUUCUUCAUUGCAUCUUUCACGCGAUUCUGAUCUUCAUAAACUUGGGUUGGAGUUAAAGGGGAAAAUGUAUAUUUUCUUUCGUUUAGCUCAAGAGAAACUCUAUUCCUUCUCCUAUCAUGAAUUACAUUCCUAUUAAAUUGUCAUGGCCGCCCAAGCAUGAUGUGACAAUCUUGCAUUGGAAUGACAUCACAAAGAACAUUAUCGGAAUAUCUCCCAAUGGAGAAAUAAACCUUGCAUUCCUUAGUCACCUUACGCUCGCCAAAAUCAUUCAACCAUUGCCGCUUAUAAGGAGUGUGUGUUUAAUGCAUGUAAAUUUAAACUUGUCCACAACGUAUGAACUUACCACAUUAGUACCACUUUCACUAUCAAUAAUCAUAGAGCAAAUUUUACCAUUUAUCCCACACCUUGUAUCAAAAAUAGUUUCUCUCCUUAAAUUGGCUAUAGUGACAUUCUUCUCCUUCAACCGUUUGAUCAACACAUCAACACAAUUAAUGUCGUUUUGAGUUGUAGCUUCAAUUUUCUUACCUGUUUCAAACAUCUCAAACAAUAUCAAAGAAAUAAAUAUCUCUCAAUUAAUUUGGCUUUUCUUUUCUCUAUUAAUCCCACUCUCUCUUGCCUUUUCCCACUCAAAUUACUACCUUUGGAUGAAUCCUUCAGAAUUUAUGUAUAAACCCUAUUAGUAACAACCUUUUAAAAGUAAGAUGUAGAAAGAAAAUAAUUUAUCACUUCCAGAUAAAUUGGGAUUGAUGAGACAAGAAAAAGACAACUUUGUGAAACAUGCAAAACUUCAAAAUUCCCCUUUUCUUGAUUUCUUCUUUGAGGUAGAAAAUCAGGAAUCAAAACAAAUUCGGAGUUUCUUAUUUUCUUUUUUUCCCUUUUUCUUGUUUUUUUUGUUGCUUUGUAGCUUAACUUUUAAACAACUAUAAAAAGACAUUUUUUUUCUUUUUGUUUUGAAAUUCCCAAGAUUAUCAAGAAUGAAACCUUGAUAAAACCGCUCUGAUACCACUUGAUAAGAAUCGGGUUACUAGAAUAAGCAAGAAAAUAAUGUGGAAGCGAAAUUAUAAAGAUUAAAGACAAAAAUUGAAAGAUAUGUAAAAUUCAAGAAUAAAAUCCCCAAUUUCAAAAUAAAGUGUUAAGAACCUUAAUUGAUCUUAGUAUUCAAAAUUAACGAAUUAAGACUAAUUGUGAUACUAAUAGAGUUAAUUCAAGAACUUAGAUCAAAAGUGAUCUAGACCCAUAUUACGAAGAAAUUAGAGACCACAAUUAGUAUAAGACUAAUCAACCUCUUUAAUUUACGAAUAGAAACCAAAGAUAUCAAAUUAAGAAUUAGUCUUACCUCUUAAAGAACCGUUCUUAUAAGGUUGUAAGAUAAAUCCAAAGUCACCACACACAAAGGUGUAAAGAAGAGAAACCUCUCAAAUAAUAUUAAUCAUGUCCGUAUUAAAAUAAUAAAAUCAACCCCUAUAUAUAGGGAAAACCUAUCCCAAAUAGGUUAGGAUUUAAAUCCUACUUUUAUGGAACUUUAAACUAGGGAAACUUUAAACUAGCAAACUUUUUAAACUAGGAAAACUUUAAACUAGUAAACUUUUUAGAACUUUUAACUUUAAGCGUUCAACUUGCUGGACUCUUUUAUUGGGCUUCGUGUGGCCCAAUCUUCUUUCUUUUGGGCUUAAAUUUGGACACCCCUUUCGUGAUAAAUAUAUUCUUGAUUAUGUAUUGAAGCCUAUCAACUUUAGUACAAGUAGGCUGACAUGGAUGCUAUCAGGUCUAUAGAAUUUCUAGACUAAGAGAAGCAACUUUGGGUAUUGAAAGCAUAUCUUUAAGCUAGUUUUCUCCAAGCGCUACUUAGAUUUAUCCAAGAAAAAUAACAACUUGAAUCCAAACCUCUCUAUCAUCAUGAUUCCUCACAAUCCAAAGCUAUAGUACUUGUGUCCCUAUUUCCUUUCUAUCCACAAUGUGAAAGUUAUGCUUAGAUGACUAACAACUGAAAAACUACAUUGAUGGAGCUAGAGAGAGAAAGUAUGAAAGAGACGAUUGAGAGAUUGAUUUGGGGAAAUGAAAAAUUAAAUUCUAUUCCACUUCUUUCCAAUAUUUAUACAUGUAUGUACAAAAAUGAAAAUAUCUUCUAAUCAACAUGACAGCUGAGACGCAACUGAUUUCCUAACUAACUUCCUUUCAACCAAUGAGCUAACUAAUUUCUUUAUAACAAAAAACAUAUAAUUAAUUGAAAGCUGAAGUUUAACUAAUCUGAACACCCCCCCCCUUCAAGUUGGAAGGGAGAUGAUUCCAGAUAACUUGUGCAAAAUAGUCGAGUGCUUGGGCCCAAUGAGGCUCUUGGUUAAAAUAUCAACUAGUUGUUCAUUAGUGGGGAUGUGGUGAAGAGUCACAAGUCCUUCGUGUAGUUUUUCUAGAAAAAAUGACAAUCAACCUUUAUUUGCUUAGUUCUUUCAUGGAAUACAAGAUUCUUUGCAAUAUGAAUGGCUGCUUGACAGUCACAAAAGACUGAGAUAGGUUGGUAAGGUGCUUCACCUAUUUCACAAAGCGAUCCAUCAAGCCAAACUAAUUCUCUAACCACUUUUCUUACUGAGCUGCAUUCUGCCUCUGCUAAGGAGAGUGAGAUAGUGAUUUGUUUCUCUGAUUUCCAACUUACAGGGUGAUUCCCCAUGAGCACUUUGUAUUCACUUACAGAUCUUUUGGAAUCGAGAGAUGCAGCCCAGUCAGAGUCACAAUAAGCAGUGACGACAUAGUUCGGAUCUUUAGUUAGAUAAAUCUCCAUUGUGGAAGUGUUCUUCAGAUUCCUCAAUACGUGGAAAGCAACCUUCAAGUGAAGUUUUCUUGGUGCUUGCAAAAUUUGACUGAGAUGUUGUACACUAAAUGAAAUGUACAAUAUAGCAUUUAUAAGGAAAUUUAACUUUCCCACUAAUUUCCUAUAGUAUGUUGGAUCAACUAGCAGUGUUCCUUCAUGAGACUUAAAUUUUACCACAACAUCAAGAGGAGAAGUAGUUGGACUAUGGUGUAAGCAAUCAAAUUCUUUGAUUAGAUCUGUGGUAAACUUCUUCAGUGUGAUGAGUACCCCAUUCUGCUUGUAGAGAAUCUCCAAUCCCAGGAUGUAAUGAAGCUUUCCUAGGUCUUUAAUUUUGAACUGGUCAUGUAAAAAGGACUUCAGGGAUGUGAUUUCAUCUAGGUCAGUUCCUGUCAAAAUUAUUUUAUCAACAUACAAUGCUACAUAAAUUCUGGUUGAUUUAUCCUUCUUGUAGAACAAUGAGUAAUCACUGGUAGAGUGUGAGUAUCCUCUUGAAUACAAUGCCUCUGCUAACUUCUCAUACAAUUGCCUACUACCUUGAUUUAACCCAUACAAGGACUUAUUGAGCUUGCAAAAAAGUCCCUUUUCAUUCACUUGGAGUCCCUGUGGAAGGUUCAUGUUUACUUCUUUAUUUAAAUUUCCAUAAGAUAAAAUCAGCAGCAUGAAUCUGCUAAUUUGCUCUGUUCCUCCAUUAAUGGAGGUUAAGCUUGUGUACAAAGAAACUAAAUUGAAAGAGAAGAGGGAAGAGCUUUCAUUGAAUCAAAAACUAACUAAUAAGUGUUACACUGUGAUACUUAUAUACAAUUUCUAAUUAAUAAAAUCUGGAAGCAUCUACUCAAUUCUAGAAUAAUGAAAAGCAACUAACUAACUUGACACUGUUGCAACUAACUCUAACUAACUUCACUGUACACUAUAUUCUCAACACCCCCCUCAAGUUGGAGGUGAGGUAAUUACAAACAACUUGUUCAAUAGAGCAGUAUGUUUAACCCCAGUUAAAACUUUGGUGAAGAUAUCUGCCAACUGUGAAUCAGUGGGGAUGUGAUGGAGUGUGAUCAAGCCUUGCUGGAGUUUAGUCCUAACAAAGUGGCAGUCGAUUUCUAUGUGCUUUGUCCUCUCAUGAAAGACUGGAUUCUUGGCAAUAUGGACUGCUGCUUGACUGUCACAGUGGAAAUGUAUUGGUAAGGAGCAUUUGACAUUUAAUUCAUCAAGUAGCCUUUCAAACCAUACUAAUUCUCCCACAACUUGUCUUACAUCUCUGUAUUCAGCUUCAGCAGAAGACAAAUAUAUUGUGGUUUGCUUCAUAGACUUCCAACUGAUAGGGCUAUCACCCAUAAGCACUAGGUAUCUACUUACAGACUUCCUUGAAUCAGAGCAUGCAGCCCAGUCUGAAUCACAAUAAGCACUAAUAGUGAGAUCAAGUUUGUUUGAAAUAAAUAUCCCCAUUGUAGGGUCCUUCUUUAAGUAUCUCAGUACAUGAUAAGAUGCUCUCAAAUGUGUCUCCCUAGGUGUUUGCAUGAAUUGACUUAAGUGUUGUAUACUGUAGGCUAUGUCCAUUCCGGUGUUUGUAAGAAAGUUUAGUUUACCAACCAACUUCCUGUAUUGAGUAGGAUUAGACAAGAGCUUGCCAUUUGUAGCCUUCAACUUCUCAGUGCAAUCAAGUGGUGAUGUGGUGGCCUUGUAGUUUAGUGCAUCAAAGUCUUUCAAGAGAUCAAAAGUAAAUUUUCUUUGUGAAACAAGAACACCAUCAUGCCUGUAUAAAAUUUCCAGCCCAUAAAGUGGUGUAGUUUACCCAAAUUCUUUAUCUUGAACUGAUCAUUCAGGAAGACCUUUAAAGAGUUGAUCUCAUCAAUAUCAGUCCCAGUCAUAAUUAUAUCAUUCAUAUAUAUGGCAACAAAAACCAAGGAACAUCCUUUCCUUUUAUAGAACAGUGAAUAGUCACUAUCUGAAUAUCCUUUUGAACAAAGAUUGUGUGCCAACUUAUCAUACCAUUGUCUGCUGGCCUGCUUCAAUCCAUAUAAGGAUUUUUUCAAUUUGCACACUAUGUUGUCACAACCUACAUCUAGACCUUGUGUAAGUGCCAUGUACACUUCCUCAUUUAAAUCACCAUGCAAGAAUGCAUUGUUGACAUCCAAUUGGUAUAGGUUCCAACCUUUCUUGACAGCUAAAGAAAUCAAGGUUCUAAUAGUAGUCAUUUUAACCACAGGUGAAAAGGUUUUAGUGUAAUCUAUCCCAACUUGUUAUGUGUAGCCUUUGACUACCAAUCUAGCCUUGAAACUCUCCACACUCCUAUCAGCCUUAUGUUUGAUUUUGUACACCCACUUGCAACCAAUAGCUUUCUUCCCUUCAGGUAAUAUGACCAUUUCCCAAGUGUCAUUAGUAUACAACGCUUCAAACUCAUGUAUCAUGGCCUAUUGCCAGGCAGGAUGCAAGAUUGCAUCCUCAAAUGAAUUAGGUUCAUAUUCAUGUGAAAUGGUUUUCACUAACUGCUGACUAUCAGAACAAAAACUGUUGAAACAAACAUGAUCAUGUUGGGAUAUAAAAGAUGUAAGGGAGUGUAGGUUAGGCAAGGUGUAGUUGUAUUCUUUGAGGUAAUUAGGAGUAUGAAUUGUUCUAGUGGUUCUUCUAAGUGCUGGUAAAGUAUUAUUGUUUGUAGAGGUAUUGGGAUCAAACGAAGUAUGUUGUGUUGUAGGUUCAUGUGUGACUUCAGGUGGUGUUGAGGUCAGAUUGGUAUUAGUUGUUACUUGGUCAUUAGUGAUCUCAUGUGGUGUGAAAUUAUCCAGCAAAUAAUCAUUAACAAAAGUGUUUGUUUUUCCAUGCAGGCAAGUUAUAUCAGUGGCAUGAAUUAGCAUCUGUAAGAUAGUAUUAAAACUAGAGCCAACAUGAACAAUGACAAAUGAAAAUACUUUUUCAUGAAAAAUGACAUCUCUAGAUAAAUGAACCUUUUUGGUAGCUAAAUUCAGAACCUUGUAACCUUUUGUGUUGAAAGGGUAGCCAAUAAAGAUGUGAGGUGUGGUUCUUGGUUCAAAUUUGUCCUUAUGAGUCUUCAAGGUAGUGGGAAAACAAAGACAACCAAAGCUUUUAAGAUGAGAAUAUGUGGGUUUUUUGUGGUAUAAUAGUUCAUAUGGGGAUUUAUUUUGAAGGAGUUGAGAGGGCAAUCUAUUUAUGAGGUAUGUGGUAGUCAAUACACAUUCCCCCAGUACCUCAUAGGUAACUUUGACUGGAACAAAAGAGCUCUUGCUGUUUCAAGAAGGUACUUAUGUUUCCUUAUUCCACUACCCCAUUUUGUUGAGGUGUAUAAGGACAAGUUUUUUGGUGUAUGAUGCAUUUGGAUUUAAAGAAACAAGUGGCCUCAGCUUAAGUGAACUCCAGACCAUUAUGGCUUUCAACUUGGUUUGGAACUGAUUUUCUAUGAGGGAUAUGAAGGCUUUGAUGGUUUGUAGAGCACUACUCUUACAUCUUAGUAAUUGUGUCCAAGUGGAUCUACUAUGGUCAUCUACCAUAGUGAGAAAGUAAUGAUAACCGUCAUGAGUGGGAAUGUGGUAUGGUCCCCAUAAGUCAAUGUGUAGUAACUCAAACACUUCAGUCGUAGUAAUGGUACUUUCUGGAAAGGGCAUCCUAGUUUGCCUAGCCAUAGGACAUAUGGUGCAAGUAAAAUGUUGUUUAUUAGAAAAAAUUAUAGGUAUGGUUGAAAUGUUUUUCAUUUUCACAAAGGUACAUGUCCUAAUCUAGCAUGCCAUAAUAAUUCAUCAUCAUGAGUAUGGGUGGAGGUAUUAGCAAAUGAGGAAAAAGAAUCAAUAAGACAAGAAUGAGAAUUAACAGCAUUGCAAACUUAGUUAUUGAUAGAAGAACAUUUUACAAAAGAUGUGGUGCACACAUUAGGAUUUUUCUUCCUGUCAACAUUGGCUACAGAAGGAACAAGAUGACAAGCAACAUGUGAAUUAUUUUCAGCAGAAGAUGCAUAACAGUUGUGGCACUUUGGACACAGGAAGUACAGACCAUUCUUGGCUCUACCAAGUUCUAGAGGGCUCUUUAGAGAAGGACCUUGCAGUAAACAAGAAGAUUUGUUAAAGCUGACUAUACCAUUGAGUUGUAGUGCUAGGCAAUUAACAGAGAUCAGAUUAAACUUGAAGCUAGGAACAAACAAUACUUUGUUAAGAGUCAAUGCUGGACUUAAGCAAACAUCACCAAUUUCAAUCACUUUGACCUUAUAACCAUUAGGUAGUAAAAUUAGGAAAGGGUAUGGAAGUGAUCUAAUGUUUGUGAGGUUGGCUUUGUUGUAAGUCAUGUGGUGUGAUGCUCCUGAGUCUAUGAUCCAAGAGCCAUCAUUUAGUUUGACACAUUUACAAGAAAGAUCACUAAUAUCAGUAAUAUAGGAGUAACAAGCAAGUAUACCUGCCAGAUUCACAGUUCCAUUCAACAUAAUGUUUGAGUUGUCUGAGUUAGAUGCUUCAUUUCCAACCUGCAGAGUCCCUAAAAGAUUAUGCAAUUGUUCAUAUUGAUCUUUGGACAAGUUUAAUGGCAUUUGCCUCUUGAUUUCAGGUUCCUCCUCAGACUGAUGCCCAUUCAUAUAAGAUGAACACACAUUUGCUGCAGAACCUGUGCCUUUUCCCUUUUGAAACUUUGGAUUGGAUGGGUACCCAUGAAGCUUGUAGCAUCUAUCCUUUGUGUGCCCUGAUUUUUUACAGUAAUCGCAAAACAAAGAUGACCUGUUAGUACUGGGAUUUCCCCUAAAUAUAGCAUUGGUGUUUGUAUUUGCAGAGCUGGUUCCACCCCCUCUAGAUGAGCUGUAAUUAGUUCUGAACCCUUUGUAUCCCACACUACUGUUGGUUUGGCCAUAGGCAUUGAGUGAGGUAGAAUCCAAAGUUGUAUGAUUGUGAGGUCUCACCUCUCUUUGUUUUUCUUCUUGGGAUAGGAUGACAAAGGCUUGAGCCAUGCUUGGAAGUAUGUUCAUCAUGAGAAUAUUGCCUCUAACAGUUGUGUACAUUUCAUUUAGUCCCAUCAAAAAAUGUAUGAGUCUCCUGUCUUGUUCAGCCUUGUGCAUUUUGGUCUUACCACCACAAACACACACAAGUGCACUGAGAAUUAACAUCGAUGGUACUCAUUUCCUCCCACAACUUCUUCAUCUUUGUGUAAUAUCCAGUAAUGUCCAGAGUGCCUUGGACAAGAUCAUUGAUCUCCUUUUGCAAUUGAUACAUCUUGUAACCAUUUGUCUGAUCGUAUCUAUCUUCCAACUCUGCCCAAAGUUCCUUGGCAUUAUUCACAUACUGCAGGCCAUCACGCAAUCACGGGGACAGGGAAUUCAGAAUCCAAGAGGUGACCAUGUCAUCAUACCUCUCCCAUUGCAUGAAACUGGGAUCAGUGUGAGUACGUCGCACAAUUGUUCCGUUAAUGAAACAUGUUUUACUCUUGACUAAAAGAGCUCUAAAAAUAGACCUUCUCUAAGAUCUAUACCCAGUGCCAUAAAAAACUGCAGGCAAAAGAGAGGAACCUGUAUUCUCUAAAGGAUGUAAGUAAAAAGGGCUGGUAAAAUCCAUUCGAACUGUGGACGAACUAGAAGCAGGAUCAGCUUGGAGAUUAACCAUGGUGUUUGAUUUGUUCGCGAAGUGAUUCAAUCACAAAAUGAGAAUUCAAUUUUUCUAAUAAACUAGGGAACUCAACAACGAGGAUGAAUCAAAUGAAGAUCGCAAAAGUAAAAUUGCAGAUCUAAUGAGUAUAAAAGAUUCUUCAAACAACUAAUGAAGACAACAACAAAAAUUCACAAUUACAGCGGAAAAAAAACUCACAAAGUAAAUUGAAGAUGGAGGAAGAACAUGAACAAUCAACUGCGCUCUGAUACCAUGAUAAAAUCAGCAGCAUGAAUCUGUUAAUUUGCUCUGUUCCUCCAUUAAUGGAGGUCAAGUUUGUGUACAGAGAAACUGAAUUGAAAGAGAAGAGGGAAGAACUUUCAUUGAAUAAAAACUAACUAAUAAGUGUUACACUGUGAUAUUUAUAUACAAUUUCUAAUUAAUAAAAUCUGGAAGCAUCUACUCAAUUCUAGAAUAAUGAAAAGCAACUAACUAACUUGACACUGUUGCAACUAACUCUAACUAACUUCACUGUACACUAUAUUCUCAACACCAUACAGGAAUGCAUUAUUCACAUCCAACUGAAAUAGAUCCCAACCUUUCUUAACAACUAAACUGAUCAGAGCCCUAACAGUAGUCAUCUUGACUACUGGAGAAUGUCUCAAUGUAAUCAAUACUAGACUGUUGAGUGUAUCCCUUGACUACUAGUCUAACUUUGAUUCUCUCCACUGUUCCAUCAGCCUUAUGUUUAAUCUUGUAAACUCACUUGCAUCCAAUUGUCCUCUUGUCUGCAGGUAAAUGAACUAAACUUCAGGUAUUGCUAGUAUCCAAAGCUUCAAAUUCAGGUGACAUUGUUGAUUGCCAAGCAGAGCUCAUGGUUGCCUCCUCAUAUGAGUUUGGCUCACUAUCAUGAGUAAUGUUUCUUACUAGCUGCUGACUCUCAGUGUCAAAACUAGUGAGUGAAACAUAUUGGUCAUUGGUGAUAUUAGGAGGAUGGUAAAGUGAUGACUCAGCCUGCAGGUUGGGAAGAUUAUAGGUAUAUUCAUUGAGGUAUUUUGGUACAACGUGUGUCCUACUUGUUCUUCUAGGUGCAAGAGGUUGGUGUUGUGAACAAGAAAAAGUAUAAAUGGUGGUAUGUGGGGAAUUAGAUAUUUCUGGGCUAUCUGAUGGAAUUGUUUCAUCAAGUGAGGUCUCAAUGUGUUGUAAGUUGGCAUUAACAAUAUUAUAUGUGACAACAAUUGAGUUGUUCUCAUUCAAAUCAUGAGCAUUAUUCAAAGUACUAUUUGUGAAGUUCAACAAUUUAGGAUUAGCAUUAAAAAUUCUCAAUACAGAACUAAAACUAGAAUUAGGAAAAGAGAGAACAAAAGGAAAGGUAUUAUUAGUUAGUUGUUUUAGGAUUGCAGUGUCUAUUUCUGAGUUUCCUGUAUUUCUCUUUUCAGUUAUUUUAGGAGGUAGUUACCAUGGUUAGCACCAUGAAUUAAAAGUAGGACCAUGACCUAUUUCAGUUUCUUUCCUUUAUGUUUAUGGAUCUAUUUUUCUACAGAAUUAAUUUAACUCUCUACAUAAGCUUUUCUAGUCUUCUUCUUCACUUUAUAUUCCUUCUAUUCUCCUUCCUUCUUUUCUAUUACAGACUAAACACUGCCUUUAUUCUGUUAUCUUCCAUUUUCUUAUUAUAAACUCACUGUUGGUAUCAGAGUUUCAUCUUAAGGGGUCUAUGAUCGAGUUGGAGAAGCCAUGGAUGCUGAAGUAAGUUUCUUACCAAUUACUCUACCGAUCUUUGAUAGAGAUAAUUAUCAGAUUUGGGAAGUACGAAUGGAGAUGUACUUGGAUGCUUUGGAUCUCUGGGAAGUUGUGGAAGAGGAUUACGAUAUCCCAGCCUUACCAAAUAAUCCUACCAUUGCUCAGAUUAAAACACACAAAGAAAAGAAGACAAAGAAAUUGAAGGCCAAGGAAUGCUUAUUUGUUGUUGUAUCGUCAACAGUUUUCACCCAAAUAAUGUCUGAGAAAACUGCUAAAGAAAUAUGGGAUUAUCUCAAGGAAGAGUAUUAUAGAGAUGAUAGAAUAAAAGGUAUGCAAGUUUUAAACUUAAUUAGGGAGUUUGAAUUGCGAAAAAUGAAGGAAUCUAAAACAGUGAAGGAGUAUUCAGAUAGACUUCUAAUAUUGCAAAUAAAGUGAAUCUACUCGGCUCUACAUUUUCAGAAUCAAGAAUUGUUGAGAAGAUUCUUGUAAUAGUUCCUGAAAGGUAUGAAGCAACAAUUACGACCUUAGAAAAUACUAAGGAUUUAUCAAAAAAUAGUUUGACAGAGUUCCUCAAUUCCCUGAAAGCUCAAGAGCAAAGAAGACUCAUGAGACAAGAGGUUACAACAGAAGGGGCUCUUGUCAGUAAGCAUCAUGUUAACAAAAUUAAGAAGAAUAAAAAGAAUCAAGCAUUGUGUGAAGGAGAAACAUCAGCCAACAACAAAAGUAAGAGAGGAAGCUCAAAGAAAAGUUAUUCCCCUUGUCACCACUGUGGAAGAAAAGGUCAUCCACCAUUCAAGUGUUGGAGGAGACCUGAUGCUAAAUGCAUGAAAUGCAAUCAGCUUGGACACGAAGCAGUGAUUUGCAAGAAUAAGACCCCACAACAGGAAGGAAAUGCUCAAGUUGUUGAUUAAGAAGAAGAGGAUCAUCUUUUUGUUGCAACAUGCUUUCCAAGUAAGUUCUCAAUAGAUUCUUGGUUAAUUGAUUGUGGGUGCACUAACCACAGGACACAUGACGAAGUCCAUUCAAGGAGUUGAAGCCCAUUGAAAUUUCCAAGGUUUGGAUAGGAAAUGGAGAUCACCUUCCUAUCAAAGGAAUUGGAACUAUUGUUAUCAAGAUAAGCACAUGCACAAAGAAAAUUUUAGAAGUUCUUUAUGUUCUUGAAAUUGAUCAAAAUUUUCUAAGUGUAGGACAUCUGAUGGAAAAAAGAUUCAAAGUUUAAUUCAAAGAUUAUCACUGUCAAAUUAGUGACACUACUGGAAAUGAAAUUUUCAGGGUGAAGAUGAGAGGAAGGAGUUUUUCUUUUGAUCAAACAAAGAAGGAGCAACUAGCUUUUUCCAUGAAGGUAAGUGUAACAGAAAUCUGGCACAAGAGACUUGGUCAUUGUCAUCUACAAGCAUUAUUAUUGCUGAUGAAGGAAGAUAUGACAAGAGGACUACCAACUCUAGUUGAUCACUUACCAAGUUUUCAAGCUUGUCAAUAUGGUAAGCAAAAAAGGAAGUCAUUUCCUAAAGCAUCAUGGCGAACUUCUGAAAGGUUGCAGUUGAUUCACACAGAUGUUGCAGGACCUCAAAAACACCAUCUCUUAAUGGUAGUCUAUACUAUGUUAUAUUUAUUGACGAUUAUACAAGAUUCUGUUGGAUUUAUUUUAUGAAAUAUAUAUCAGAAGUGGCAUGAAUUUUCUCGAAGUUCAAGAAGAUGGUGGAAAGUCAAAGUGGUUGCAAAAUCCAAUCCCUGUGGUCUGACAAUGAAAAAGAUUAUAAUUCUGAAGAAUUUAACAAAUUUUGUGAGGAAGUAGGUAUUACUCAUCAGCUUACUGCUCCAUAUACUCGGCAACAAAAUGCAGUUAGUGAAAGGAGGAACAUAUAUAUAGUGGCAAUGACGCGGUGCAUGUUGCAUGAAAAAGAGUUGCCGAAAAGUUUUUGGGCUGAGGCAGCUAAUACAACAAUAUUUCUCCAAAAUCGGCUUCCUACUAAAGCAUUGCUGGAUAAAACUCCCUUUGAGGCUUGGAAUGGAAUCAAACCAUCACUAAGCUUCAUUAAAGUAUUUGGUUGUGUUUGUUUCUUUCAUGUGCCACAGGUUAAAAGAGACAAACUUGACAAGAAGGCACUUCUUGGAAUAUUUGUGGGUUAUAGCUCAUCCUCCAAAACCUACAAAGUUUAUAAUCCACAAAGACAGAAGAUGAUUGUCAGUAGGGAUGUGCACUUUUCUAAGGAAGAGAAAUGUGACCAGAAGGACAAUAAACUUUCAGUCCAAGUUUUAGAGGAGCAGGCAUCUGAUCACUCACAAAAUGAGUUAGUUGAUUAUCUUUCAAUUAGAUAUACAAGACUACUCUCUAACAUCUACCAACAAAGUAAUGUAACAGUUUGUGAGCCUGCAGGGCAUGAGGGAGCACUUCAAGAUAAAAAUUGGAGAAACUCCAUGAAGUAGGAGAUGCUAAUCAUCAAGAAAAACUAAACUUAGGAGUUAGUUGACCGACCAAAAGAUAGGAAGGUCAUUGGAGUAAAAUGAGUGUUUAGAACCAAGCUCAAUUCUGAUGGUUCUAUCAAUAAAUACAAGGCUAGACUUGUUGUCAAAGGAUAUGCCUAAAUAUUUGGUGUUGAUUACUCGGACACCUUUGCUACAGUAGCCCAAUUGGAUACCAUUAGAUUGUUGCUAGCAAUAGCAGCACAAAAGGGAUUGAAAGUGUUCUAGCUAGAUGUGAAAUCUGCUUUUUAAAAUGGUGUACUACUAGAAAAAAUCUAUGUAGAGCAACCCGAGGGUUUCUUUCAGCAAGGAAAAGAAGAAAAAGUGUGUCUGCUUAAAAAAAAAACUCUUUAUGGCUUAAAACAAGAUCCAAGAGCUUGGUAUAGCAGGAUUGAUGAUCCAACUCUUUGGGGUUUGUACGAAGUGUAUUUGAAGUUACUUUUUAUGUCAAACAUGAAGGAACUGAUCUUCUCAUUGUUUCCCUUUAUGUUGAUGAUCUCUUGGUGACAGGAAACAAUGUAUGGCUGGUUGAAGAGUUUAAGAAGGAAAUGAUGCAAGUCUUUGAGAUGACUUACCUGGGGCUAAUGACAUACUUUCAGGGAAUGGAAAUCAAACAAGGUCGUGAUGAAAUUUAUCUACCAAAAGAAGUAUCCAAGAGAGAUACUUAAGAAAUUUCACAUGGAAAAUUGCAAGGCAACAAGCACAACAAUGUUGUAAGUGAUCUUUUAUCCAGAUUUAUGCAUUGUGCUACUGAAAUGCAUUUGCGAGCAGCAAAAGAAUUACUGUCACCCCCGAGCUACCCUCGAGAUGUGGACACGGGACCUAGAAUCACAAGUGACCCCACACUAACCCUGCUGGCAUAAUCAUGAGCAUACUAAAGAUAAACUAAGAAAGAAAACUAAUUGCAGAAGCUAAUCAUAAAUAAAUCUGAAAUGAUGGGGAAUACCCGUAUCUAAAACUGAAUAUCAAAUCUGAGAGUUUAAUACAAAAGAAACAUCAAACUCAAAUACUAAGCUGAAUCUAACUAUGUCUAAAAACAACCUCUAACUGACUAGAAGUGUUGGGACAUGCCCAGCUAAGUCUAGCAAACCUGAAACUAAAACAAUGAAAACUGAAAGAUAACAUGACUAUUGUCCUCGAAGAAUGAGGACUCACCACUGAUGCUGCUGAACUGGAGAUCGGGGACCGAUCUAAGCGUGAUCUGGAUGCUGAGAAUCUAAAACUACAUCACAAGAAGAUGUGGCGCAGAGUAUGCGUCAGUACUUGAAAGGUACUGAGCACGCAGGAUAGAGUAAAGCUAAAAUAAACAUAUAACUGAACAAGCAAUUAUGGCUGGUUGAAGAGUUUAAGAAGGAAAUGAUGCAAGUCUUUGAGAUGACUUACCUGGGGCUAAUGACAUACUUUCAGGGAAUGGAAAUCAAACAAGGUCGUGAUGAAAUUUAUCUACCAAAAGAAGUAUCCAAGAGAGAUACUUAAGAAAUUUCACAUGGAAAAUUGCAAGGCAACAAGCACAACAAUGUUGUAAGUGAUCUUUUAUCCAGAUUUAUGCAUUGUGCUACUGAAAUGCAUUUGCGAGCAGCAAAAGAAUUACUGUCACCCCCGAGCUACCCUCGAGAUGUGGACACGGGACCUAGAAUCACAAGUGACCCCACACUAACCCUGCUGGCAUAAUCAUGAGCAUACUAAAGAUAAACUAAGAAAGAAAACUAAUUGCAGAAGCUAAUCAUAAAUAAAUCUGAAAUGAUGGGGAAUACCCGUAUCUAAAACUGAAUAUCAAAUCUGAGAGUUUAAUACAAAAGAAACAUCAAACUCAAAUACUAAGCUGAAUCUAACUAUGUCUAAAAACAACCUCUAACUGACUAGAAGUGUUGGGACAUGCCCAGCUAAGUCUAGCAAAACUGAAACUAAAACAAUGAAAACUGAAAGAUAACAUGACUAUUGUCCUCGAAGAAUGAGGACUCACCACUGAUGCUGCUGAACUGGAGAUCGGGGACCGAUCUAAGCGUGAUCUGGAUGCUGAGAAUCUAAAACUACAUCACAAGAAGAUGUGGCGCAGAGUAUGCGUCAGUACUUGAAAGGUACUGAGCACGCAGGAUAGAGUAAAGCUAAAAUAAACAUAUAACUGAACAAGCAAUGAAGCAAGAGUAUAAUCUGAACAUGAUAUAGAUACUGAAUACUGAGCUAACAAAAUGCAAUGACCAAAUUUAGACAUGUUGAUGCUGAAUACUGAUUAUACUGAAAUGUGGUCAAUGCAAUGGAGUCUGACUGAACUGUGGGAGCUACUAAUAACCGAUAAUAAAACCACGUGAGCUAAAUGUGGAGUCCGAUGUAUACGCCCCAUCAAGAGGACCCAAUACACCCGGCCAAAGGUGUAGAGGCAUGCUGGCGUGAUCACUAAAAUGAUGCCCACAGAGGGGACUUCCAACCUACGUGGCUUGUAGUUCUGGGACUAUAUGGGUGACUACCCUAGUCCAACUCGGUAUUAUGCUACUCCCAAUAGAUUAAAUGAUUAACACAUGCUAGGUCAGAUAUUUUAGUAUUUCAGAUGUACAUGUCUCAGUUUGAAUGUGUCAUUGUCAGUAUAUAAAUGUGCGCUCUCAUUUUGCAUGUCAUUUUUGAGCUAUCCAAUAUAUUUCAGUAAUUCAGUCAUAAUGUUAUCCAGAGUGUCCUUGGUGCUGCUAGAUGGUCCUUGCACCUGAACAUUUUCAAGCAAUCUCACCAGAUGAUCAUAUUGGUCUUUGGUUAAGCUUUGAGUUCCCUGAAUGUGGUCCAGUUCCCCUUGUGAACUUGAGGUUUUGGGGAAAACCAUGCAACCUAUAGCACUUGUCUUCUGUGUGUCCAACCUUCUUACAGUAAUCACAAAACAAAUUUUCUUUGUUAAUAUUAGGAAUGGGAUAAGUGUUCCUGUUGACAUGCUGAAAAUGAUUGAAAGGACCUCUGUAGAUGUUGUUUCCAUUUCUGUGAUUGUUGUAAGAGUAGUUUGUUCUGAAAUUGCCAUUUCCAGAACUAGCACUAAGUGAGGUAGAGGCUCUAGAACUAGCACUAAGUGAGGUAGAGGCUAAACUCAUGCGAGUGGAUGGUUUGACUUCUCGUUGUUUCUCCUCUUUCACUAAAAUAGAAAAAGCCUGUGCCAUAGUUAGCAGUGGGUUCAUCAUAAGAAUGCUACCUCGCACUAUAGUGUAGACCUCGUUAAGUCCCAUCAGGAACUGGAUGAGCUUUCGAUCCUGCUCCGCCUUAUGCAUUUUGGUCUUACCACCACAAUCGCACAGACAAGUGCAUUGAGUGUUGGGAUCCAGGGUAUUAAGAUCUUUCCAGAGUCCUCGAAGCAUGGAAUAGUACCCUGUAAUGUCCAGAUUUCCUUGGGCGAGAUCAUUGAUCUCCUGUUGGAGCUAAUAGAGUUUCGCACCAUUGAUUUGGUCAUACCUGUCUUGCAGUUCCUCCCACAAUUCCUUUGCGUUGUUGACAUACUGCAAGCUGUCAACUAAGUCCUUCAACAGAGAAUUGAGAAUCCACGACCUGACCAUGUCAUCGCAACGUUCCCAUUGAGCGAAUGUGGGUGAAUUUACAACCAGUUUCUGAACUUUCCAUUGAUGAAACCUACUUUGUUUUUCACAGAUAGGGCGUGAAGGACACCGCGUCACCAAGAUCUAUAACCAGUUCCAGUUCCAUCGAAGAGCACCAGAAUGAUCGCAGAUCCAGCUCUUUCUGAUGGAUGCAUGUACAGUGGUUGGCUGGAAUCAACAACUUGCUGAGUUUGGAUCUGAGGAGCGUCUGUGUUCUGAUCCAUGAGAUUGAUGAAAUUGAGCUAGAAAAAUCUGAGACCUAAACAUGGAAUCUAAGAAACAAGAAUUCGUGAAUGAGAUGAAAAAGAAAGGAAUCAGAGAAACAAAAGAGAAUGAAGAACUAAGUGAGGUGAUGCGGAAGACGAAGAAGAGAUCAGUGCCUAUUGCUCUAAUACCAUGUCAAAGUUGUGCAUAGAUGACUAACAAGCUAGAGAGAGAGAGAGUAUGAAAGAGACGAUUGAGAGUGUGAUUUGGGGAAAUGAAAAAUUAACUUCUAUUCCACUUCUUUAUUAUACAUGUAUGUACAGAAAUGAAAAUAUCUUCUAAUCAACAUGACAGCUAAGACACAACUGAUUUCUUAACUUCCUUUCAACCAGUAAGCUAAUUAACUAACUUCUUUAUAACAAGAAGCAUAUAAUUAAUUGAAAGCUGAAUUUUAACUAAUCUCAACACACAAAAUCUAGAAGAACUAGUUCUCCAGUAAAUAUGCAAGACACAUGAGCUAAAGACUCAUGUUACUUUUGUAAUGAGAAAUACAACCUUGGCAAUAAGUGCAGCCUCCCAGAAUAGCUAUUUAUAUUGAAGAGUGAAGAGUUGAAAGUCUCUGGUGAUGCUAGAAAAGAAGAGAGCCUUCCACUUGAGGAUAAGAGUAAACCAGUGAUCUCAAUUUAUGCCUCGACUAGGAUAAGAGGUGCUCAAACCAUUAAGGUUUUAUUGUAUACUACUCAACGACCCUUACAUAAUCUGAUUGUUGGUGGGAGCACACAUUACUUCAUUUACCAUGACACAACUCAGAAGUUAGGGUGUCCCAUCACCCUCUUACUUAGUCAAUAUGUCAGCAAUGGUAAAUCUAGAAUGCUGUUUCAUUGUAUCCAGAUUCUACAUGCUCAAUCCUUUCUACUGAUUAAGCUUUAUUUUUCUUUAACCAAGAGUCCCUUUCAGCACAAUGCUCUUUCUUCAAGAGCUAUGUGCUUGGACUCUUCAAUAAUAUCGAUGGGUGCAUUUCUGAUCCUCUAAAGUUAGUGUAAUUUUGGAGGAUCCGACACAGGUGCGAUAACACUUUUGAAGAGUCCGUGCAACAUAGAUCAACAACACAUCUGAAUGAUAUCUUCCUUGUUUUUUUUACUAUUAGGGAGGUGGAGUGUGUGAUGAGGUGAUAAAUCUGAGACCACUGUUGAUUUUAUUAACUGAAGAAGUAGAGCAGCUCAUUCAUCUCAUUAUCUAUACAACCUGGUUUGGUGCUUUUGUGGCACACAAGAAUCGAGAGCCUGUUCUAAAUAUUCAAAUGAAACUCUCCAAAUUACAUAUAUAUAUAUAUAUAAUAAGAAAUGUGUCUUUUCUUGAUGGAGAAGCAGUUCAAAUUCUGAAGAGGAUUAAAGUCUAGUCUCCAUAAAUCAUAUACAUUUCCUUAGGUUCAACCAAAUACAAAUAUACAAUACACUUAAAUACAAUCCUUCACAGUUUAUGGUGAAUUAUUUCAAUCAAACUCACAAUUAAAGACUCAAAUUCAAGUUCAUUACUUCUGGAAAGUUCCGUCUUUGGUAGCUGUGCCUAUGAAAUUUGCUGAUUCUUCAGUAGAACAAAGUGAUGAACUGGAUGAAGAAAUUACGGAGGCGUUCAGUGGCAUUGCCUGUGUGUUCAAAGAAUGUCUUCCUGAACAAUAAGGAGUACAUAAUAAAGGUUUUGGUGGGAUUUCUAAGACGAGGCUUCCCUCUAGCAUGUCAAUAACCUUACUCAUUGAUGGUCUUUGUGCUGGAUCAGUUUGGAUGCACCACAGACCUACUAAUAUCAUCUUUCUAGCAGUUUCUUCUUCUUCUAUGUCUAUAAUCCCAUGUAGCUUCAGGUCAUCGUCUAGCUGAACAUGCUGAUAUGCCCAGUAAGGAAAAUAUAUCUCACUUGUAUGGCUCACUUCUUCCUUGACAUUCUUUCUUCCUCCAACCAUUUCUAGAACCAUCAUUCCAUAACUAUAGACAUCAGAUUUGUGUGACACUCC
This 27039-nucleotide long non-coding RNA is filed under the name Solanum tuberosum (potato). Its description in RNAcentral is "long non-coding RNA (STUB_LNC011614)". Lineage: Eukaryota; Viridiplantae; Streptophyta; Magnoliopsida; Solanales; Solanaceae. The record is from RNAcentral.